This 119-nucleotide ribosomal RNA is filed under the name Pelobates cultripes (western spadefoot toad). The record is from RNAcentral. Lineage: Eukaryota; Metazoa; Chordata; Amphibia; Anura; Pelobatidae.
GCCUACGGCCAUACCAGUCUGAAAGUGCCCGAUCUCGUCAGUUCUCAGAAGUCAUGCAGACUUGGGCCUGCUUAGUACUUGUAUGGGAGACCAACUAGGAACCUCAGGUGUCGUAAGCU